GACGAACGCUGGCGGCGUGCCUAAUACAUGCAAGUAGAACGCUGAAGGAGGAGCUUGCUCUUCUGGAUGAGUUGCGAACGGGUGAGUAACGCGUAGGUAACCUGCCUGGUAGCGGGGGAUAACUAUUGGAAACGAUAGCUAAUACCGCAUAAGAGUAGAUGUUGCAUGACAUUUACUUAAAAGGUGCAAUUGCAUCACUACCAGAUGGACCUGCGUUGUAUUAGCUAGUUGGUGGGGUAACGGCUUACCAAGGCGACGAUACAUAGCCGACCUGAGAGGGUGAUCGGCCACACUGGGACUGAGACACGGCCCAGACUCCUACGGGAGGCAGCAGUAGGGAAUCUUCGGCAAUGGACGGAAGUCUGACCGAGCAACGCCGCGUGAGUGAAGAAGGUUUUCGGAUCGUAAAGCUCUGUUGUAAGAGAAGAACGAGCGUGAGAGUGGAAAGUUCACACUGUGACGGUAUCUUACCAGAAAGGGACGGCUAACUACGUG
RNAcentral lists this ribosomal RNA (495 nucleotides) under uncultured bacterium. Its description in RNAcentral is "partial 16S ribosomal RNA". It matches the Rfam family "Bacterial small subunit ribosomal RNA", at positions 28 to 507 of the family's 1533-position model. The record is from RNAcentral.